UCGAGUUACAAAUAAGAGGUGUGUGAGCAAGGAAGAGCUGAAAAAGGAUUAGAAAAUGUUGGUCAGAGCGGCUCGUGCUAAAAAAAAGCAAAUUUGCGACAGAUCGCAAAAUUAGAGAUAGGCGCGCACAGACAAACCAUAAAAAGGACCAGAAAAGACUAGUCAAAGCAUCUCACGCUCGAAGAAGGCCUGGUCGCAAAAUCAGAGGCCGCCGUGCACAAAGGACCCAAAAAAAUAACUAGAAAAGACUAGUCGGAGUGGCUCGUGUACGAAGUAAACAGAUCUAUCUAGCAAGGCAGCGGCUCGACUCGGUUCGACUCGGCUCAAGCAUAGAUGGCUUGGCUCGACUCACGCAGCAGCUCAAAUCGGAUCGGCUCAUGCUCGGUGCUCAAGCAAGGACGGACUAGAUCCGAGUGGUCCCGCGCGCAGAAUGGCGAGAGCUGGACGUCCCCGUGCGUAGAAGGCUAGAAUGACGCGGCGGAGAGCCCUGACCAGCAAAUACAGCGCGGCUCAAUGGGGGAUAGAGCAGGUCGUGGCGAGAGAAGAAGAUCUGUUCAACGCGACCAGAUCUGUAGUGCGCGGUACUCCGGUGGGGAGCGUGAACGGUUCUACGAGUGGAAGAAGGCCGGAUCUGACCGGAUUUGGCCAGAGAAGACGACCGGAGCGCAGCGGCUGGUCGCGGAAUUUUGCAAUUCCGGGCGUGCUUUUAACUCGUUCUCACCAGAUCCGUACCAGAUCUGAGCGUGCGCACGGUUCUGUGGUGAUUCCCGAUGAGUCUCGCGGUGGCAAGUGGUGGUCAAUGGCUGCUGCGGCAGCCGGCGGCGCGUGAUCACGCGCCUCUGCUGCUGGUGGUCGACGGAGUCGGAAAAAAGGCCUCCGGUUGGUCUACGGCACUGUCCGGGACGAUCAUGAUAGCAGAUUUGAAUUAAGUAAAUAUCAACUUAGCCUAUUUUUUAUUUUAAGAUUAUAAUUUUAUGGUUUCUUUCAAAUUCUAAAAUAAUUUUAUUCAACUCUAUUAUCAUCUUAAUAUUUUAGAUAAAAAAUAAUUUUAUUUUUUAUUUUUAUAUUAUUAUAUUUAAAAUAUUUAUAAAACUUUUAAUUAUAAAUAAAAAAAUUAUUAUUCUAAUAAAAUUUUAAUUAUAUAAAAUUAAUAUUUUAAUAUAAUUUUAAUUAAGUUAUUUUAACUAAUUAAAUAAUAAAUAAAAAUAAUAAAAUAUACUACUUAACAUUUUUUUAUGUUAUAAUUCAUAAAUUUCAUGACACAUGACGUCAGAGAGAAUUUUAUUCUCUAUAAAAUAACACAAGAACUUUUGCAUGUUGCACGUGAGACCUACUCAAAUAAGGAAGAUAGAGUGAAGGUGUUUGAAAUUGAAGUCCCUCCAUACCCUCUAUUAGAAGAACCUCUUAGUCACCCAAUAUUUAAGUCGUCUGUGCAAGUAUUUAUGGCAAUUAGAUGCGUAGGAAAUUACUCAAUAGGAUUGCCUAAUGCAGCUAAGUAGAAGAAGAUCAUUGAGAAGAAAUAGAUCUAUAAGUUUUGUUGAGACUCAAUAAAAACUUUGAUAAAAUUCAUGGUCGAAUCCUAACAAUCAAAUCUCUAUCUAAUCUUCAAGAGGUAGGAGUUAGAGUCCAAAAAAAAAGUUGAAAAAGGUAAUGAUGUGUCCUAAGAAUCAGUCCAUCAAUAACGACGAUAUUUUUUUCCUUGCAUCACAAAGAACUGAGGAUAAAGAGACUAAAAAAAAAAGACCAUGGUGCAAGCAUUGCAAGAAGUUCGAAUACUCUUAUGACACCUGCUGUGACAUUCAUAGAAAAUUCCAUUAUUAGAAGCCAAAAAGCAAAAGGCAUGGACGUGCAAAUCAUACUACAACCAUGGAACAACUGAAUCAAUUCAACAAGGAGCAAUUGGAAAUCUUUCAAAAGUUAAUUAUUAAUGCGCAACCAAUUUCUUUUACUCCAAAUUCCAAUCUCUUGACAAUAACAAACGUGGCACAUGAAGAUAUUUUUUCAACAAUCCUCAAAACUUAUAGGAUGGACAAGAAAAAUUCAUAGAUAAUCAAUUCUAGAGCCUCUAAUUAUAUGACUGACGAUGUAUCUCUUAUCCAAAAUCUUACUAUUUAUCAUGAAAACUAUAAUGUCAAGAUAGUUGAUAAUCGGCUUCAAAAGUGACCAAUAAAGGAUCUGUAGCUCUCUUAGAAAACCUGAACCCCAACUAGUUCUAUUAGUUCCAAAUUUGGAUUGCAAUCUUCUGUCAAUUAAUCAACUUAUAAGGGAAAUAAACUGUCUCUGUAUUCACCUUUAAUUUUGUAUCUAUCAGAAUUUGACUUCGGGACGAAUGAUUGGCAGUGAUGACUUGUAUUUGAGACUUUAUAUACCCAAUACAGUCAAACCUCAUGAGAAUUUUUCAACCAAAGGAAGAUAAUGUUUUUCUGCCCUCAAGAAUAAAGAUAGUGAAAUAAUGUUAUAGUACUACCAUUUAGGUUAUCUAUAUCUUAUACCUAAAGAAAUUUUUUAUGUUAUGUUCUUGAGAUUAAGGUUUCGUCAUUGGCAGUUCUCUGAAAUUUUUAGUUUUAGAAUAUGUUUCUUCUCCUUGUUGCGAUUCCUUGAGCGAUUAAUUUUGUGACAAUUUAUUACAGCUCAUCAGAGGGAGCUGUUACUUUGGAUCGAGAGA
This 2665-nucleotide long non-coding RNA is filed under the name Carica papaya (papaya). RNAcentral describes it as "long non-coding RNA (CPAP_LNC006319)". The record is from RNAcentral. Lineage: Eukaryota; Viridiplantae; Streptophyta; Magnoliopsida; Brassicales; Caricaceae.